GUCUUUCAGAUGGAAAUAAGACCUGUCAUGAUCAGCAGCUUCUACCAAAAGUGUGGACGUCCCUCCACCUCAGCAGCCAGCCUGCCUCUGGUGAAUCAUGUGACCUUACACAUCAGGUGUAAUUAGAGGAGCAAUCCGACAGCAAGAAAGAGCUGCACCAUGAAUGGCCUGGCCCAAAGCCUAUCCAGCUGCUGACAGCCUUGGCUGGACCCUGGACAUGUCAUUCAUCUGCCACCCUCCCACUAGCAGUCUUUUGUUUGGUAUUAGAAUGUGGUAUCUAUUUUGUAAUGAUAGACUUGACAUAGUGUUGUGGGAAU
Molecule: long non-coding RNA, 317 nt
Organism: Engraulis encrasicolus (European anchovy)
Lineage: Eukaryota; Metazoa; Chordata; Actinopteri; Clupeiformes; Engraulidae
Exons: 3
Source: RefSeq, a predicted model, not a curated record